This 428-nucleotide ribosomal RNA is filed under the name uncultured bacterium. Its description in RNAcentral is "bacterial LSU rRNA". It matches the Rfam family "Bacterial large subunit ribosomal RNA", at positions 166 to 641 of the family's 2925-position model. The record is from RNAcentral.
AUAGGUGUGUGAGGCGAACGAGGGGAAGUGAAACAUCUCAGUACCCUCAGGAAAGAAAUCAAUUGAGAUUCCCUGAGUAGCGGCGAGCGAAAUGGGAUCAGCCCUUAAGUCGAUUAUGCUUUAGUGGAACAGUCUGGAAAGUCUGGCCAUAGUAGGUGAUAGCCCCGUACACGAAAGGGCAUAGUCGAUGAAAACGAGUAGGACGGGACACGUGAAAUCCUGUUUGAAUAUGGGGGGACCAUCCUCCAAGGCUAAAAUACUCCUGACUGACCGAUAGUGAACAAGUACCGUGAGGGAAAGGCGAAAAGAACCGUGGUGAACGGAGUGAAAUAGAACCUGAAAACCGUAUGCAUACAAGCAGUAGGAGCACCCAUGUGGUGUGACUGCGUACCUUUUGUAUAAUGGGUCAGCGACUUAUUCUCAGUAGC